GAUGAACGCUGGCGGCGUGCCUAAUACAUGCAAGUCGAGCGAACGGACGAGAAGCUUGCUUCUCUGAUGUUAGCGGCGGACGGGUGAGUAACACGUGGAUAACCUACCUAUAAGACUGGGAUAACUUCGGGAAACCGGAGCUAAUACCGGAUAAUAUUUUGAACCGCAUGGUUCAAAAGUGAAAGACGGUCUUGCUGUCACUUAUAGAUGGAUCCGCGCUGCAUUAGCUAGUUGGUAAGGUAACGGCUUACCAAGGCAACGAUGCAUAGCCGACCUGAGAGGGUGAUCGGCCACACUGGAACUGAGACACGGUCCAGACUCCUACGGGAGGCAGCAGUAGGGAAUCUUCCGCAAUGGGCGAAAGCCUGACGGAGCAACGCCGCGUGAGUGAUGAAGGUCUUCGGAUCGUAAAACUCUGUUAUUAGGGAAGAACAUAUGUGUAAGUAACUGUGCACAUCUUGACGGUACCGAAUCAGAAAGCCACGGCUAACUACG
Molecule: ribosomal RNA, 495 nt
Filed under: uncultured bacterium
Lineage: Bacteria
Description: partial 16S ribosomal RNA
Rfam family: Bacterial small subunit ribosomal RNA
Source: RNAcentral